RNAcentral lists this ribosomal RNA (466 nucleotides) under uncultured bacterium. RNAcentral describes it as "partial 16S ribosomal RNA". It matches the Rfam family "Bacterial small subunit ribosomal RNA", at positions 339 to 795 of the family's 1533-position model. The record is from RNAcentral.
CUACGGGGCGCAGCAGUGGGGAAUAUUGGACAAUGGGGGAAACCCUGAUCCAGCAAUGCCGCGUGUGUGAAGAAGGCCUGCGGGUUGUAAAGCACUUUCGGUUGGGAGGACUGCUUCUAGCACUAAUAUUGUUGGAAGUUGACGUUACCUUCAGAAGAAGCACCGGCUAACUCCGUGCCAGCAGCCGCGGUAAUACGGGGGGUGCAAGCGUUAAUCGGAAUUACUGGGCGUAAAGCGCGCGUAGGCGGCUAGAUCAGUCGGGUGUGAACGCCCCGGGCUUAACCUGGGAACUGCAUCCGAUACUGUCUAGCUUGAGUACAGGAGAGGAGAGUGGAAUUCCACAUGUAGCGGUGAAAUGCGUAGAUAUGUGGAGGAACACCAAUGGCGAAGGCAGCUCUCUGGCCUGAUACUGACGCUGAGGUGCGAAAGCGUGGGGAGCAAACAGGAUUAGAUACCCGGGUUAGUC